This is a long non-coding RNA of Nycticebus coucang (slow loris), 2536 nucleotides long. RefSeq lists it as uncharacterized. Lineage: Eukaryota; Metazoa; Chordata; Mammalia; Primates; Lorisidae. The transcript has 4 exons. The record is from RefSeq and is a predicted model, not a curated record.
UUCUCUUCUGUGCAGCUAGCUGCUUUCAGAAACUUCUAAAAUGGCAAGCAGAGAGCUAGGAAGGAGGAAGAACUGAAGUACAAUCUAUUUAUCUCACAGUCCUUAGCAUUAGUGCAAGAAGUGGUAUUUGGUGGAAAGAUGUUCAAAUAGCACUUGUAUUUCAGGUUAAUCUGUUUGGUGUUAAUACUAAAGGAACAACAAAAGUAGCAGAUAAAAGACUCUAACUUGAAGGGUGGGGAAAAAAUAAGACUUACAGCAGUGAUUUUCAGCUGGUGUGCCGUGAAAAAUUUUAAAGACCAUUAAUUAAAUUAUUUUCAAAAGAAGUACAAAGCACAGCAUCUGGGAAUGAUAGCAAGUCGAACCACUAUCAAGAUGUCACCUUCACUAAUGAUGCUGGUGAUGUGCUUUUUCUCAUGCUGAACCUAAAGGAAAAGGAUAAAGAUACAAAGAGAAGGAAGAUAAUGGCCCCACAGGUUUCAGAUGAGAUAUGAAUGGUCCUGGUUGCAGUGACUUGAAGAAAGUCUUCAUUUUGUCAUGGAGGAGAAGGGCAACUCAAUCACAGGUAAACCUUGUGAGAAGGGGCCAGGGAGAUAGGCAGAUACGCAGGCUCCAGACAGAAGCCCACCAUGGCACUGCGGCACAGCUGGGAAGCUUCCAUCACCCUCAGGAAGGCUGCAGGAAAAAAGUUUCCCACUGGGCAUAAAGGCUGACGUGGAAAACAAUCAAAACAGGGAUGGCUGAAAUCUAUAAAACAAUGUUGCAUGAGAUUUUCUUUAUUUAAGUCAUAGAGUAUUUUUCACCUUGUCAAAGGAAAUCUUUCUUGUUAUCAUUCACUAGGGAUGUAUAAUUGGAGAGAUGCAUUCUUGCUUCUUGGGAAUUUAUUAAUAUAUCUAGUACCAAUUGCACUUAUCCAAGAUAGUAAGAUACAGAUGUCUGAGGACAAAAAUGUCACAUUCAUACCAUCUAAUUUGGGCCAAAGAGAAUCAUUUUCUUCUCCGUGAGUAUGUUGACCUAAUUUUGGAAGUGAUGAUGGUUAUCACUUUUGUACCAGAGAACAUGAGGAAUGCAUCUUUCUCCUCCACUAGCCUCUGUUAGCAUCAUUAGGGUAGAAAUUCUGUGUUAAUUUCCCAUUCUCCCUCACACAGAGACACAAUUGUCUUCCCUUUCAAAGACAAACACCUUUCUCUAGAAAAAGUGGUUGUGGGUGCCAGGGACCUCCAGGGUAGUGAGAGUACACCCACCCAGCCCUGAAGCCCAGGAUGGCCCUGAGAAAUUCCAGUCUUUCUGGAAGGAAGGUGGUACAGAAUGUCCUUGAGUAUUUAAAGAGAUGCUUACUGAAAUAAAUGUACCAGAAAUAGGCAACUAAUCAGGGUAAAACAGUAUUUUCAUGAUUUUUAACAUAUCACUGAAAAUUUUCCUUUAUUAACAAAAAAUUAAAUUGUAACACACCCAGUAGUAUUUUAAUAUUUUUACUCAUGGAUUUGUAAUCCAUAUCAGUAAUUUGAUAUGUCUAAAAAGAAGAGGUGAUAAGCCAACAUUUUGUUUUCUCUCCAUAGGAAACAAGUCAGGAGGAAAAAAUGUAAGGUUGAGAUUUACAUAACAGGACACCCUUAACAGAAAAUAUUUUAUAUUAAAGAAAUCUGGAUUUCUAAUAGGUAGGUACCAUUAUGAACUAAAAGGUUAAGUAUAAGAAAGAGUACACUCCCUAUUGUUUUUAGAUAAACAGAAAACUUAGACAAAUAUCCAGGAUUGAAAUCAGAGGAUUCUCCUCCAUUUCUAGGUAGUCUGGGCCUAACUCCAAACAAAAACAAUUGUAAUCUCAGGAAGUCCCUCCCUGAGAGACACAGGUUAAAUUUCCCUCUGGAGAAUUACCAAAUCUGAAGGCAUGUGAGGAUUAGCAGUCACUUUAAUAAUGAAUCUCAUUGGUUUGGUCUCCACACAUCUGUAGACAUCAAUUGUGUCCACAAUUCUACAUAGCAGCCAAACAGAAAAUACAUUGUCCACUAAAACUUCCAGAAAUGAACUCUGAGUGUGCAGGUUCUCCAACAUCUCAUAGGGAAGUUUAACCAAAGAUGAAUUCAGAUCUUUUCCUGAGCCAUUGACAUAAGGAGAGAGACCCCAAAGUGGAGAACAUGGGCACACACGGAAUAACACACAUUUCUUUUUAUGUUAAAAACAGAAAAUAGCCCAAAAGGGGCAGGGGGACAUUUGGAAAAAUAAUCUACAUUUUGGUUUUGGAGAUGCCUGUUUCCGGUUAUCUAUUUAUUUUUAUUUAUAUUGAAUAUUGUUUUCAUCUCUGGCUAUCAUCUAUGAAAAAAAGAGUUUGUUUGCAUUUAAGCACUUGAUACGCAGAAUUUAUUUUUACCAAAGACAGAAGUAAGAAAUAAUACGGGAUGCAUUCAUCUUAGCAAAUCUUUAUAACGAUGUGGAGAGUGUAACUUACUUUCUAAGUGUAGAGUAUAAAUGUCAUAACACAAUAAUUAAUUAAGAAAGUGUGGUGAAGGCUAUGCUAACAAGUUUGUUAUAUAUAUUUCAA